Ailuropoda melanoleuca (giant panda) is the source of this 939-nucleotide long non-coding RNA. RefSeq lists it as uncharacterized. The record is from RefSeq and is a predicted model, not a curated record. Lineage: Eukaryota; Metazoa; Chordata; Mammalia; Carnivora; Ursidae. The transcript has 3 exons.
UGGGAGAGCGUUAGACUGAAGAUCUAAAGGUCCCUGGUUCGAUCCCGGGUUUCGGCAGGGUUUUUGCCGACACGCGACAGGACGAGAGUCUGUUCAUUUCACUACUCUCCCGAGCCCCCCGGGCGCGCCUGCGCAACGGUCCUGCGGGUCUCUUGGUGCUCGUGCCCACCCCCGCGCCUGCGCAGCGGUUUGGGUGGAUGGAUGGGUGGGUGUCUCUUAGCGCAUGUACCCUCUCCCGCGCGUGCGCACCGGCCGCGCGGGUCUCAGCGCCCCCCCUCCCCCCGGGAAGCGGUGGUGCUUUCAUUCAGCACGCUGAAGGUAUGGGGCUUUGGGCCUAGUCGCGGAGCCCCGAGGGGUGGAGUGCCUCGCACCCUAAGACCGCACACUAGGCUCCUUAGUGUUUGUUCCGAGUGCCGUCAGCUCACAGGGCUCGCAAGAUUUUCUCGUGGGUGAUAGAGGUGCCGACAGCCUUAAAAACGUUUUUCUAUACAGCCAGACUCGAAAAUCAGGGCCCCGUCGGCCGGUUAGAAAUCUGGUGAAGGAUGGUUCCCAGCCGGAGAUGUGACUCAUAAGCACGUGUCUCGAUCUGAAAGAGUCCUUGGAACCCGUUUUCUCACCACGCCGUUAAUAAACGGGGCGCAAACUAUUGCUCAGGGCCAAACGCUGCGCAGUUACCGCCAGGAGCAUUGCUGUCAGGACUGACGACGGCGGUGCAGUUUUCUGGUUGUGGGUCUUUUGAUGUUCCGGAUAUAAAAGCGUUCAUCGAGCGCCUGCCGCCCUCCAGCCUUUAAGCAAAUUUAGACCCAGUCCUGGUCCUCAGUGCGGCGAAAGGCUCGCUACCAGAAGCACCCAAUCAAGAGCUUUGACGGCGGGAAACUGGCUUUUGCAGCGUUACCAGCCAACACCAGAAAGACAGCCAGCGAGAGAGGGAACACAAGC